AACGAACGCUGGCGGCAGGCUUAACACAUGCAAGUCGAGCGCCCCGCAAGGGGAGUGGCAGACGGGUGAGUAACACGUGGGAACGUGCCCUUCGCUUCGGGAUAGCCUCGGGAAACUGGGAGUAAUACCGAAUACGCCGUAUUGGGAAAGAUUUAUCGGCGAAGGAUCGGCCCGCGUUGGAUUAGCUAGUUGGCGGUGUAAUGGACCACCAAGGCUACGAUCCAUAGCUGGUCUGAGAGGACGACCAGCCACACUGGGACUGAGACACGGCCCAGACUCCUACGGGAGGCAGCAGUGGGAAUCUUGGACAAUGGCGCAAGCCUGAUCCAGCCAUGCCGCGUGAGUGAAGAAGGCCUUAGGGUUGUAAAACUCUUUCGCCGGUGAAGAUAAUGACGGUAACCGGAGAAGAAGCCCCGGCUAACUUCGUGCCAGCAGCCGCGGU
Molecule: ribosomal RNA, 442 nt
Filed under: uncultured bacterium
Lineage: Bacteria
Description: bacterial SSU rRNA
Rfam family: Bacterial small subunit ribosomal RNA
Source: RNAcentral